Molecule: ribosomal RNA, 481 nt
Filed under: uncultured bacterium
Lineage: Bacteria
Description: partial 16S ribosomal RNA
Rfam family: Bacterial small subunit ribosomal RNA
Source: RNAcentral
GAUGAACGCUGGCGGCGUGCUUAACACAUGCAAGUCGAACGAAGCAUUUAAGACAGAUUACUUCGGUUUGAAGUCUUUUAUGACUGAGUGGCGGACGGGUGAGUAACGCGUGGGUAACCUGCCUCAUACAGGGGGAUAGCAGCUGGAAACGGCUGGUAAUACCGCAUAAGCGCACAGUACCACAUGGUACAGUGUGAAAAACUCCGGUGGUAUGAGAUGGACCCGCGUCUGAUUAGCUUGUUGGCGGGGUAACGGCCCACCAAGGCGACGAUCAGUAGCCGACCUGAGAGGGUGACCGGCCACAUUGGGACUGAGACACGGCCCAGACUCCUACGAGAGGCAGCAGUGGGGAAUAUUGCACAAUGGAGGAAACUCUGAUGCAGCGACGCCGCGUGAGUGAAGAAGUAGUUCGCUAUGUAAAGCUCUAUCAGCAGGGAAGAUAGUGACGGUACCUGACUAAGAAGCUCCGGCUAAAUACGUG